GGAAAAGGACCAUUUUGCCUAAAAAAUGGAGUGUUUAAGUCACUUGAAACCUUUACAUAGGUGCUGCCUAUGCUAUCGCCUAUGUUUACAUAGGCGCCGCCUAUGCUAUUGCCUAUGUUUACAUAGGCGCCGCCUAUGCUAUCGACUAUGUUUUUCAGGUGCCAUGUGCGAUUGGUUAGGUGACGCAUACUACUUUGAAAGGCCAUAACUUCUUGCUCGGGUGCCGGA
This 228-nucleotide long non-coding RNA is filed under the name Capsicum annuum. Its description in RNAcentral is "long non-coding RNA (CANN_LNC008249)". The record is from RNAcentral. Lineage: Eukaryota; Viridiplantae; Streptophyta; Magnoliopsida; Solanales; Solanaceae.